Molecule: ribosomal RNA, 513 nt
Filed under: uncultured bacterium
Lineage: Bacteria
Description: partial 16S ribosomal RNA
Rfam family: Bacterial small subunit ribosomal RNA
Source: RNAcentral
GACGAACGCUGGCGGCGUGCCUAAUACAUGCAAGUCGAGCGGACUAAUGGGAGCUUGCUCCCGUUAGUUAGCGGCGGACGGGUGAGUAACACGUGGGCAACCUACCUGUAAGACUGGGAUAACUUCGGGAAACCGGAGCUAAUACCGGAUGAUAUAAAGGAACUCCUGUUCCUUUAUUGAAAGAUGGCUUCGGCUAUCACUUACAGAUGGGCCCGCGGCGCAUUAGCUAGUUGGUGAGGUAACGGCUCACCAAGGCGACGAUGCGUAGCCGACCUGAGAGGGUGAUCGGCCACACUGGGACUGAGACACGGCCCAGACUCCUACGGGAGGCAGCAGUAGGGAAUCUUCCGCAAUGGACGAAAGUCUGACGGAGCAACGCCGCGUGAGCGAUGAAGGCCUUCGGGUCGUAAAGCUCUGUUGUUAGGGAAGAAUAAGUGCUAGUUGAAUAAGCUGGCACCUUGACGGUACCUAACCAGAAAGCCACGGCUAACUACGUGCCAGCCGCCGCCGUAA